RNAcentral lists this ribosomal RNA (418 nucleotides) under Moorena bouillonii COB. Its description in RNAcentral is "bacterial SSU rRNA". It matches the Rfam family "Bacterial small subunit ribosomal RNA", at positions 356 to 788 of the family's 1533-position model. Lineage: Bacteria; Bacillati; Cyanobacteriota; Cyanophyceae; Coleofasciculales; Coleofasciculaceae. The record is from RNAcentral.
GGGGAAUUUUCCGCAAUGGGCGAAAGCCUGACGGAGCAAUACCGCGUGAGGGAGGAAGGCUUUUGGGUUGUAAACCUCUUUUAUCAGGGAAGAAGAAAGUGACGGUACCUGAGGAAAAAGCAUCGGCUAACUCCGUGCCAGCAGCCGCGGUAAUACGGAGGAUGCAAGCGUUAUCCGGAAUUAUUGGGCGUAAAGCGUCCGUAGGUGGUACCUCAAGUCGGCUGUUAAAGACCAGGGCUUAACUCUGGGCAGGCAGUGGAAACUGAGGAACUAGAGGGCAGUAGGGGUAGAGGGAAUUCCCGGUGUAGCGGUGAAAUGCGUAGAUUUCGGGAAGAACAUCGGUGGCGAAGGCGCUCUACUGGACUGAACCUGACACUGAGGGACGAAAGCUAGGGGAGCGAAUGGGAUUAGAUACCCC